This 460-nucleotide ribosomal RNA is filed under the name uncultured bacterium. RNAcentral describes it as "bacterial SSU rRNA". It matches the Rfam family "Bacterial small subunit ribosomal RNA", at positions 8 to 464 of the family's 1533-position model. The record is from RNAcentral.
AGAGUUUGAUCCUGGCUCAGAUUGAACGCUGGCGGCAGGCCUAACACAUGCAAGUCGAACGGUAACAGGAAACAGCUUGCUGUUUCGCUGACGAGUGGCGGACGGGUGAGUAAUGUCUGGGAAACUGCCUGAUGGAGGGGGAUGACUACUGGAAACGGUAGCUAAUACCGCAUAACGUCGCAAGACCAAAGAGGGGGACCUUCGGGCCUCUUGCCAUCGGAUGUGCCCAGAUGGGAUUAGCUAGUAGGUGGGGUAACGGCUCACCUAGGCGACGAUCCCUAGCUGGUCUGAGAGGAUGACCAGCCACACUGGAACUGAGACACGGUCCAGACUCCUACGGGAGGCAGCAGUGGGGAAUAUUGCACAAUGGGCGCAAGCCUGAUGCAGCCAUGCCGCGUGUAUGAAGAAGGCCUUCGGGUUGUAAAGUACUUUCAGCGGGGAGGAAGGGAGUAAAGUUAAU